RNAcentral lists this ribosomal RNA (225 nucleotides) under uncultured bacterium. RNAcentral's name for it is "partial 16S ribosomal RNA". It matches the Rfam family "Bacterial small subunit ribosomal RNA", at positions 97 to 339 of the family's 1533-position model. The record is from RNAcentral.
GGCGAACGGGUGAGUAACACGUUGGUAUCUGCCUUUAGGUCAGGGAUAGCCAUCUGAAAAGAUGAUUAAUACCGGAUAGUCUCUUCGGAGUAAAAAUUUAUUGCCUAAAGAGGAACCUGCGGUCUAUCAGCUUGUUGGUAAGGUAACGACUUACCAAGGCUAUGACGGAUAACUGGUCUGAGAGGAUGAUCAGUCACAAUGGAACUGAGACAAGGUCCAUACUCC